RNAcentral lists this ribosomal RNA (735 nucleotides) under uncultured Lysobacterales bacterium. Its description in RNAcentral is "bacterial SSU rRNA". It matches the Rfam family "Bacterial small subunit ribosomal RNA", at positions 94 to 825 of the family's 1533-position model. Lineage: Bacteria; Pseudomonadati; Pseudomonadota; Gammaproteobacteria; Lysobacterales. The record is from RNAcentral.
AGUGGCGGACGGGUGAGUAAUGCUUGGGAAUCUGCCUGUCAGUGGGGGACAACCCGGGGAAACUCGGGCUAAUACCGCAUACGCUCCACGGAGGAAAGCGGGGGACCGAAAGGCCUCGCGCUGACAGAUGAGCCCAAGUCGGAUUAGCUAGUUGGUGGGGUAAAGGCCUACCAAGGCGACGAUCCGUAACUAGUCUGAGAGGACGAUCAGCCACACUGGGACUGAGACACGGCCCAGACUCCUACGGGAGGCAGCAGUGGGGAAUAUUGGACAAUGGGGGCAACCCUGAUCCAGCAAUGCCGCGUGUGUGAAGAAGGCCUGCGGGUUGUAAAGCACUUUUGGCAGGGAAGAAAAGCCUCGGGAUAACACCCCGGGGUCUUGACGUAACCUGCAGAAAAAGCACCGGCUAACUCUGUGCCAGCAGCCGCGGUAAUACAGAGGGUGCAAGCGUUAAUCGGAAUUACUGGGCGUAAAGCGCGCGUAGGUGGUUUGGUAAGUCGGUUGUGAAAUCCCCGGGCUUAACCUGGGAAUUGCAGUCGAUACUGCCUGACUCGAGUGCGGGAGAGGGAAGCGGAAUUUCCGGUGUAGCGGUGAAAUGCGUAGAUAUCGGAAGGAACACCAGUGGCGAAGGCGGCUUCCUGGCCCAACACUGACACUGAGGCGCGAAAGCGUGGGUAGCGAACAGGAUUAGAUACCCUGGUAGUCCACGCCGUAAACGAUGAGAACUAGAUGUUG